AGAUUUUAUUAAGAUUUAGACUGAUUGCAGACAUUGUGCUUCACAUUUCAAGAUGGCAGGUGACACCUGAUCUACCUAAAUACAGAAAAUUUUCAUAAGCAUUAUUGUUGAUUGUUAUACUUGUAAAUUGAGGUAGAUAGUUUAUGGAAUAUACAGGAUUUUAAAUCAUAUUUAUUUAUCCAUCUUUUGUACUUCUGUGAAGUAUUUAUAUUUAUACAGCAUGAAUAUAAUUAUGGAAUUGUUCAGAAUAGGUAAAUGAUACAAUUUUAAAUGUACUAUUCUGAACAACAUGCUUAACCUAAUCUAUGAAAAUGUAUUUCUGUGACAUAGUUGAAGCUUAUCAUGUAAUAUAGAGACAUAAGAAUUGAUACCAGUUGAAUAUGCAGUUGUGUGUAAUCCCACCUAUCUAAAAUAGUAAUAAAUCCAUGUAAAAUAUAAAAACAAAAUCCUUAGUACAGAGCCUGUGAAAAACUAUACAUGUAUGUAUGUAUUUACAUUUGUGGUGUAUGCUAAAACAAUUUGCAAUUUAAAUACUUUGGUAGUUAAGUAUUUGUUAGUCCCAUUUACAUUUGAUUAAAAUUUGCUUUUAUCAUUUUUUAUGAGUUUAUCUCACAUAUUAUAUAUGACUUUAGAGAGAGUGCUUUGAUAGUUCAGACUUAAACCUUGAACAACCUUUUAUGCCCUAUCUAUUAAGUAAAACUGUAACUGUAUAUAGUUUUACCUGUACUUUGAAUAUUGUAAAAUAUGAGUUUCAGGGACUUUUUUUAAUGGUGCCUGUUUUUGGCAUGAAGUUUUUAAUUUUGAUUUUGAGUUAGAAACUAUAAGUAUAUUUUUCUUCAGGAAAAGUUUAUGUAAAUCGGCAAUAUUUCAGUUUUUGAUGAAAUUUGAACUACAUCUGAAAACCUAAAAAAUAUAAAGUAUUGGCAUUAUUUUCAAAAGAUACUGAUGAAUAAAGAUUGGGGAAGGCAUUUCAAUGAAUAGAAUGUUUUUAAAAAUAGACAUAACAUAUAUGCAUUAAUUCACUUCUAUAUAUAAGUGUGAUUUCAUUAAAAAAUGUCCACAGAAAUUUAUUUAAAAAUGAGAUUUAAAGUCAUGAAAUCAAUGAAAAAUAUUGAAGGGGGUGUCAUUGGAUUUGUUUUUACUGAUUUCUUGGACAUUAUUGAUUGUUUUUUUUUUUUAUCCUUUUAAAGAUAAGGCAUUAUAAGCCUUGCAUAUAAAAGCUGAAAAAGAAAAGUCAUUGACACAUUUUCCUCCUCUCCUUCAUCAUUCAGGGUAACAAUAAAAAUUAUAGGUAAAAAAAACAUGAUUCAUAAUUGUGCAUGUUUCAUUAUUUGAUUUGGGGUAAAUUUCUUUUCAUUCAUUGUCAAAGAAGUCCCAUUGAAUAUUAAGCAAAAAGUUGAAGAAAAAGGUUGCAUUUUCCUCAUAUAUGUUUGUAAGAAUUAUAUGUAAAUGAUAUUUUUAUUUAUUGGGUGGUUAGGGACUAACAAAAGUGCCUCCUAUUUUUCAUGCGCUUAAUUCUUUAACCAAAAUUUAAAAAAAACAUGCAUGAUUAUUGGUAAUUCAUACAUUUAUAGAUAACACACAGUCAGUUAUUGUAAUGUUUAUUUAAAAUAUAUUUUAUAAAUGUUUCUUUUUCUUUUCUGAUUUCAUAAAAUUUUUAUCAUUGUAAGAAAUUUUUUGGUGGUUUAUGGUGAUGAUUAAAACGUGGUAAUGCAAUAAUAAAAUAUAAUUCAUCAGCAAUUUUAUAAAGACUUAAACCCAAACCAAAAUUUCUAAUAUCAAUCAACUAUUUAUAAAAUAACUAAAAAUUGAAAAUAAAAAAUGAUUACUAGUAUGAUUUUUAUUCCCUGGAUAUUUUAAUAGUAAUAAUUUGAAUAAUGUUGGUAUGGGGAAAACAAUAUUGUUUCUGAAACCAGGGAGGUAUAUGAGAUAUAACUUCCUUGCUGAAACAUUGUGUAAUAUGUUAUAUUUAUUGAAAUCCAACCUUUAAUGAUGUUUUACUACACAGUUUAUGUAAAACUGCUUAGGAAAUGAUUAUAGACUUUGUUUUUCAAUAUAAUUUGAAAUAUUGAAGUUUCAACCAAAAAAAACCAAACAUUAUUGACUUUUGAAAGGAUAGUUGUACAUUCCAGUUCAAGGUGCUACUGUACAUUUAUCAAUAUAUCAAAAUAUUUAUUUUUGUUCACUAAUUUAUUGUUGUACUUUCAAUUGUUAAACAAAAUAAAAAUGUUGUUUUUUAUU
This 2241-nucleotide long non-coding RNA is filed under the name Mytilus galloprovincialis (Mediterranean mussel). The record is from RNAcentral. Lineage: Eukaryota; Metazoa; Mollusca; Bivalvia; Mytilida; Mytilidae.